This 465-nucleotide ribosomal RNA is filed under the name Vreelandella stevensii. RNAcentral describes it as "partial 16S ribosomal RNA". It matches the Rfam family "Bacterial small subunit ribosomal RNA", at positions 338 to 795 of the family's 1533-position model. Lineage: Bacteria; Pseudomonadati; Pseudomonadota; Gammaproteobacteria; Oceanospirillales; Halomonadaceae. The record is from RNAcentral.
CCUACGGGGGGCAGCAGUGGGGAAUAUUGGACAAUGGGGGGAACCCUGAUCCAGCCAUGCCGCGUGUGUGAAGAAGGCCCUCGGGUUGUAAAGCACUUUCAGUGAGGAAGAACGCCUGGUGGUUAAUACCCAUCAGGAAAGACAUCACUCACAGAAGAAGCACCGGCUAACUCCGUGCCAGCAGCCGCGGUAAUACGGAGGGUGCGAGCGUUAAUCGGAAUUACUGGGCGUAAAGCGCGCGUAGGUGGCUUGAUAAGCCGGUUGUGAAAGCCCCGGGCUCAACCUGGGACCGGCAUCCGGAACUGUCAAGCUAGAGUGCAGGAGAGGAAGGUAGAAUUCCCGGUGUAGCGGUGAAAUGCGUAGAGAUCGGGAGGAAUACCAGUGGCGAAGGCGGCCUUCUGGACUGACACUGACACUGAGGUGCGAAAGCGUGGGUAGCAAACAGGAUUAGAUACCCUAGUAGUC